Molecule: ribosomal RNA, 253 nt
Filed under: uncultured prokaryote
Description: partial 16S ribosomal RNA
Rfam family: Bacterial small subunit ribosomal RNA
Source: RNAcentral
ACGGAGGGUGCAAGCGUUAUCCGGAUUCACUGGGUUUAAAGGGUGCGUAGGAGGGCAGGUAAGUCAGUGGUGAAAUCUUCGAGCUUAACUCGGAAACUGCCGUUGAUACUAUCUGUCUUGAAUACCGUGGAGAUGAGCGGAAUAUGUCAUGUAGCGGUGAAAUGCUUAGAUAUGACAUAGAACACCCAUUGCGAAGGCAGCUUACUACACGAUCAUUGACGCUGAGGCACGAAAGCGUGGGGAGCAAACAGGA